CUUUGGAACGCUCCAGCCCUCUGAGCCCACCCAACCGCCCUGCCCCCGAGUCCGUGUAGCCAUGGCAGAGCCUAGUGGAGGGGCAGUGCCCAUGCAGGCAGCCAGCUCAGCUUCCCGGGCUCCCACAGCAGUCCUGCAGAUGCCUUGUGUGACAAGUGACUUGUUCUUCAGAUGCCUACUGUGUAGAGAAUGCCAGCCCUGGAAUCCUACAACCUGAUUCAGUCCUGCCACUCCUGAGAGGAAAAUCAGAACAAGUUAAAAUAUAGAAAAAUAAGUCAGGUGCGGUGGCACACGCCUAUAAUCCAAACACCGAGGCAGAAAGAUCCCAAGAUCCGGAUCCACCUGGACAAUUUAGCCCACUGUGUCUCGAAAUUUAAAAAAAGAAAGAAAAAGAAAGCAAAAAAGAGGGCACAAAAAGGCCCAGGGACACACCAGCACAUACAGCUGUGUGCAGCCAGCAAGGUACCAGCCCUGUCUGGCCGCCUGCCAGUGACUCUGAGGCCACUGCCUUCAUGAAAGUGCUCACCUGGGACGGUGGACAGAGGCCCUGCCUGAGCCCAGCACACUUUGGGAUGUCAGGGAUGCCCCCUCCCCACCCAGAGCUCAGGUACUAAUUGGAUGAGACUGAAGGGGAGAGGGACCUGAGCAGGAAGAGCUAGGGUCCAGAGCCGGGACUUUGUCUUUGCCUAUGGCAAGUGGAAGUGUCCAAGCUUAAACAGAGAAUGGUUUGCUCUCUUCCACUCUCACCCCCAGCCUCAAGAAACAACUGGUUGGGUGGGAUGAUGCAGGCCUGUAAUCUCCACUGCCCCCAGAGGCUGAGAGAGAAGGUCUGCAAGUUCAAGGCCAGCCUGGGAAAUUUAGCAACGUUCAGAGACUGUGCUUCAAAAUAAAAAUAAUAAACAGGGCUAAUGAUGUAGCUCAGUGUGAAGGCCUUGGGCUAGAUCCCUAGUCCUGAAAAAAGGAAGGAAGGAACUCACUUUGGAUUAGAAGGAAUAAGGACAGAGGGAAAUUGGAUUAAAUGUCCACAGACUGAGGAAUAAACAGUAAGAGAGGCCCACGGGCCCCACCCUGAAGCCCCUGAAGCUGCAGGAAGCAGAGAACAACUGGCUCAACACAUCGCUUUCUUUGAGGAGUCUGAGGCCCAGGGAGAAAAGUGACUCUCAGGAGUCACACAGCAAAGCAGUGGCAAUACUGAGACCCGGACCAAGAUCUCUUGCCUGCCUGUCAAGUGAAGUCCCUAAUAUUCCAUGCACGUGGCAUGGGGGGGGGCGCUGGAUAUUAAACCCAGG
Molecule: long non-coding RNA, 1289 nt
Filed under: Heterocephalus glaber (naked mole-rat)
Lineage: Eukaryota; Metazoa; Chordata; Mammalia; Rodentia; Bathyergidae
Description: lncRNA (ENSHGLG00000035486.1)
Source: RNAcentral